This 1967-nucleotide long non-coding RNA is filed under the name Carassius auratus (goldfish). Its description in RNAcentral is "lncRNA (ENSCARG00000049603.1)". The record is from RNAcentral. Lineage: Eukaryota; Metazoa; Chordata; Actinopteri; Cypriniformes; Cyprinidae.
UCAAGAACAGCAAUAAUUUAUUUAAAAGCUCAGACAUCUAUUACUACACAUUAUAUUUAGUUUAAUGUGUAGUACAGACAGACAGACAGACAGACAGACAGACAGAUAGAUAGAUAGAUAGAUAUUACUGUAAAUCUUAAGCUAUAAUAUCUGACAAAGCCCACUUUUAACAGGACAUUAAUAGCUUUUGUGACAAGAUGAGGUGUUUCCUUUGUGCAUAAACAAAAUACAGAGGCAACAAUUAUACAGUAAUCUCUCUAUAUGUCUUUAGGUAUCACAUCACCAUUGCUUUGUCUGUCAAGGGCUGUUCGUUCGAGUGUUACAAAGACACGGUGGAGCCCAAGUGCUGUCCAGGUCACUGGGGCAAUGACUGCAUUGAGUGUCCAGGAUCAGCAGCGACUCCCUGCAGCAAUAAUGGAGUCUGCUCUGAUGGUAUAGCAGGCAAUGGGACUAGCACAUGUGCAGUAAGAUAAUUUACUUCUUUUCUUCUGUCUGAAUCAAACACUAUUAUUGAGCAUCUGAUGUGACUUUUUGGACAUUUUUUUUUUGUGUAUGAUGGCUCUGGAAAAGGUGAGUUUGUGAACACUCUUUUACUCUUUUCUGAGCAGCUUGAAUGCACCCAUUGCUUUGAUUACAGUUUGCCAUCUUCACAAUCCUGCUGUUUUCCCCAGUUUGUUGAAGGGUAGGGUUGCAGUGUAAAAGAUGUGUGCAGACCAGACUCCUGCCAUAAAUAUGCCACCUGUGCCACAGUGGAACCGGGAACAGUCGAGUAGGUGACAAAUUCUCAAUUGUUUGGAUGUUUCAUUGUUACAUUCACAGAAAACAGCAGUUGUUUCUUGCAAAAUAAGGUGGAUACAUUCAAACAAAUACUAAGCAUGCUUUUGCUCCAGGUGAAAACCCUGCUGGCUAACGAGAUGAGAGCUCACUUGUAAGCUAACUUGCUAAGCUGCACAUGGUUGCAGGAGAGGUGAACUCUGAGUCGCUGAAGAAGGGAAUCCUCUACUACACUCUGACCGGCCUGGCUGUUGAAACAUUGACAGAUGGAGGUGAUUGAAUGCAGGUUGUGUGUGUGUGUGUGUGUAUUCCCCAGAUGUUUUCAAGGAUGUGCAAAUGCAGGAUACAAGAGCAGAAUCAUCACAUACUGUUUCACUCUUUUCUGCUCAGAUCAGAUUAUGUUUCAUUGUGUUUGUUAAGAUGACAGGGAAUACAUGAACUUUUCUGAAAUCUGUAAACUUCUAUUUUCAAGGCAGACCAGAUAAAAAUCCAUCUUCAAUGCAGUCGUAAGUAAGGAACUCUUGUGGAGACGGAUAUCUUUGCCUCAAAUUGAAUCAUCCAUUUGGUUGGAACUGCUUCCAUCAGCUUAUCAACCAAAUGGAUGAUUCCAAAAACAACAUUAAGUAAGUGUAGAUAAGCGAGAAAGAGGUUCGUGAAGAUAAAAGAUUUGUGUUACAUAAACAUCAUACACUUACUUAAUGUUGUUUUUGAUUGUUAUGAGGAUCAAUAAUGUCUUUGUAUCUUAUUUUUCUUACAGCAAAACCUGUUUAAACCUUUUUAGCAUAUUCUCUCAGGGAAUUGAAAAUUCUCUGCUUGAGGUUGAGUUUUAAACUCUAUUAAUCCCUAAAUGAAUAUACUUUAAGACACUUGACCUGUGCUAGAUAUUACCUUUUUUUGUUAUAAGCCAAAUAUUUGCUACGUUGUAAAAAAAAAUAUAUAAUAAUAAUAAUUCAUAAAAAUAGGUAAUGAUGUAUUGUAUUAAUAUGAAGGAAUUCAAAUUUUUAGCUGUAUUUAGAAUUUUUCACAUUGUUACAUUAUUUAAAUUUGUUUUUAAGGUUUAACUAAUUUAUAAUUAUUUAAUUGGCCAUUUUUUUCUGACCAUAUAAAACUUAUCCCAGUUCAUCCUUUUUGUUUAAAAUACUUAGAGGAGGUACAGUGCAAAAAUAACAACUGUUCGGUUUUUAAAAAUUAUU